RNAcentral lists this ribosomal RNA (406 nucleotides) under uncultured bacterium. Its description in RNAcentral is "partial 16S ribosomal RNA". It matches the Rfam family "Bacterial small subunit ribosomal RNA", at positions 29 to 526 of the family's 1533-position model. The record is from RNAcentral.
AUUGAACGCUGGCGGCAGGCCUAACACAUGCAAGUCGAACGAGUGGCGGACGGGUGAGUAAUGUCUGGGAAACUGCCUGAUGGAGGGGGAUAACUUCUGGAAACGGUAGCUAAUACCGCAUACCAUCAGAUGUGCCCAGAUGGGAUUAUCUAGUUGGUGGGGUAACGGCUCACCAAGGCGGCUAUCCCUAGCUGGUCUGAGAGGAUGACCAGCCACACGGGAAAUGGGACACGGUCCAGACUCCUACGGGAGGCAGAAGUGGGGAAUGUGGGACAAUGGGCGCAGGCCGGAUGCAGGCAAGACGCGUGUAUGAAGAAGGCUUUCGGGUUGUAAAGUACUUACAGCGGGGAGGCGUUACCGGCAGAAGAAGCACCGGCUAACUCCGUGCCAGCAGCCGCGGUAAUAC